UCUCGACAUAGUUUGUUUUUUUUUAAGUGGAGAGCGGAAAUAGAGGAGGGCGUUAGAAAAUAACGAAGAUCCUCCUUUUCUUCCCUGAAUAUAGAGCGCUUUCCAUAUGAUUGUGUAUAUGCAUGUACAGGUAUCUCUAGCCUAAGAAUUUAUUGUUGUAUAAUGGAUAAUCGUUAUUAUAGGCUGGUUAACGAGAUUGAAAAAUAAAUAAUUACUUGGUGAUUUAA
This is a long non-coding RNA of Macrosteles quadrilineatus (aster leafhopper), 227 nucleotides long. RefSeq lists it as uncharacterized. The record is from RefSeq and is a predicted model, not a curated record. The transcript is spliced from 2 exons. Lineage: Eukaryota; Metazoa; Arthropoda; Insecta; Hemiptera; Cicadellidae.